UACGGAGGAGGCAAGCGUUAUCCGGAAUUAUUGGGCGUAAAGCGUCCGCAGGUGGCACUUCAAGUCUGUCGUCAAAGACUGGGGCUUAACCCUGGAAAGGCGGCGGAAACUGAAGCGCUAGAGUGUGGUAGGGGUAGAGGGAAUUCCCGGUGUAGCGGUGAAAUGCGUAGAGAUCGGGAAGAACAUCGGUGGCGAAGGCGCUCUACUGGACCACAACUGACACUCAGGGACGAAAGCUAGGGGAGCGAAUGGG
This 253-nucleotide ribosomal RNA is filed under the name uncultured bacterium. RNAcentral's name for it is "partial 16S ribosomal RNA". It matches the Rfam family "Bacterial small subunit ribosomal RNA", at positions 524 to 776 of the family's 1533-position model. The record is from RNAcentral.